RNAcentral lists this ribosomal RNA (465 nucleotides) under Vreelandella stevensii. RNAcentral describes it as "partial 16S ribosomal RNA". It matches the Rfam family "Bacterial small subunit ribosomal RNA", at positions 338 to 795 of the family's 1533-position model. Lineage: Bacteria; Pseudomonadati; Pseudomonadota; Gammaproteobacteria; Oceanospirillales; Halomonadaceae. The record is from RNAcentral.
CCUACGGGCGGCAGCAGUGGGGAAUAUUGGACAAUGGGGGGAACCCUGAUCCAGCCAUGCCGCGUGUGUGAAGAAGGCCCUCGGGUUGUAAAGCACUUUCAGUGAGGAAGAACGCCUGGUGGUUAAUACCCAUCAGGAAAGACAUCACUCACAGAAGAAGCACCGGCUAACUCCGUGCCAGCAGCCGCGGUAAUACGGAGGGUGCGGGCGUUAAUCGGAAUUACUGGGCGUAAAGCGCGCGUAGGUGGCUUGAUAAGCCGGUUGUGAAAGCCCCGGGCUCAACCUGGGAACGGCAUCCGGAACUGUCAAGCUAGAGUGCAGGAGAGGAAGGUAGAAUUCCCGGUGUAGCGGUGAAAUGCGUAGAGAUCGGGAGGAAUACCAGUGGCGAAGGCGGCCUUCUGGACUGACACUGACACUGAGGUGCGAAAGCGUGGGUAGCAAACAGGAUUAGAUACCCCAGUAGUC